UCGCAAAAAAAAAAAAAAAGGGAGAAAUCCCACUGAAGUCCCACAUGCACAACCAAGGUGCCGGGCGAGGUGUUGGAGUCCCAGCAUCGGGAAGUGGCCGACUCGCGGGCUGGUAAGAAGAAUUUACCAAUGACAGUAUGGGUUUGGAAGAGGAAAGUUUUAUUAGGAAGAAAGAAUGCUGCAGAGGAGGGCAGUGGGUGCCUCUGCCGGAGGACUCGGCACCACUGGGGAUUUUCCUUAGGAGCAUUUCUGGACCUCACGGCGGGAGCUGAAGGGUGAUUCGCACGAUAAAUGCUACAUUUGUAGACAUUCUGGUGCCUUAGUGACGGCAGGGGGUGCACACUGAGUUUCAUCAGCCAUGCAUUCCAGAGAUGUAUAGAAAUUCUAGUUACUUAUAAACGUUAGGUUGAAAGGAGGCCUGGAACCAGGUGCCAACUUUAGAUGAUGGAGAAGUUUAAUUACUUCUAAAUUCCUCAAAUACGGAGCUUUGCCUCUGGAUGGCCUGCCUGAUGGUCACCAGGUGGUCUUUGCUGGCCUCAGCCAGCUCACAGGUUGUGAGCUGGCCUCUCUGCCAGCAGUGCUCGCUCCUGUCUUUGCUCAGCUCCCCGUCCCUCCCCAGGGAGUCAUCCCAAUUGUCCAAUGUCCUCAGCUGCCAUCAGGCCACUUGCCCCACCUGUCACAUCAUCUGUUGACUGCCUGUCCUCCCUGGGGCAGGACCCCCUCUAUGCAGCUCUGUGUGCCCGGCAUGGCAUGUGUGAGAGCAUAGAAGGUCUGGUCACAGAGUUGGCUGACUGGUCCUGGAGGGUGGGUGGACCGCCCUCGGAAAGCCAGAGAGGUGUGUGUGCUUUGUUCCAGGACGCAAGGUGUUGUUCGCUUGUCCUCUGUCAACGUAACCUGGAGAAGCUGUUGCAACCACCAAGGGAGGGUGUUUCCUCAGGCCAAGAGCUUAUUGGGAGCUUAGGAGCUACUGACGACAGCAAGCUGCAGGGCAGUGACCAUAGAAUCCGAACCAGAAAGUGGAACAGCUGAUAAAGAGGCUGCCCGGGCAGGUGUGGCCUCAGAUUGUGAGGGGCUGGCCCCAUCUGCCGCCCCUGCCCCGCCUUCAUGAGGCCAGCGUUCUGGAUACUGGGGAGCUCCGCUGGGGAAACAGCACCCUCCACACAUCUCAGCGGCGAGCAGUGGGUGCGGGGUGCAUUGCAGCUCCAGGAAUAUCGUGUCCUAGUCCUAACUCCUGUGAAAAUGGCCUUGUACUGGGGCCUUUGCUGAUGUGAUCAGGUAAAGGGCAUGCUGGAUGAGGGUGGGCCCUAGCCCAGUUGAGGUCGGAGGCCAGCAGGACUCAUUCUCCAGACUGGACUGAAGACAGGCCAAAAGCAGCAAGCAGCACGGAGGACAUCCUCUGACCACCCUCACUGCCCAUCAGCCAGAACACCCGCACCAGCACCAGGACAGUUUACAACGGCACGGCAAUGCCCGGAAGUCACGGCCCAUUUCCAUGGCAACAACUGGAAGUUACCGCCCAUUUUCUAGCAAUUUCUGAAUAACCUGCCCCUUCAUUUGCAUGCCAUUAAAAGAGGGUAUAAAUACGGCUGCUGGUCACCCAUGCGGCUCCCUGCCCAUGGGUAGCCCCGCUCCACCGGAGCAGGCACGGAGCUGCGGCACUGCCACUGCCUCCCCGAAGCUGCUUUCUUUCACCGCUGGCUCACACUUGAAUUCUUUCCUGAGCAAAGCCAGGAAUUUCCCCUGCAUCACAGUGACUGGUGUCCCUCUGAGAAAAGAGAAAGCUGGAUACAGGCACAGAGGCAGACACACAGGGAAAAAGCCACGCAGCCAGAGACAGAGCGGGGUGGUGCAGCUGCGACAAGGAGCCCCGGGGCUGCUGGCAACCACCAGAACCUAGAGGAGGCCAGGAAGG
This 1912-nucleotide long non-coding RNA is filed under the name Rhinopithecus roxellana (golden snub-nosed monkey). RNAcentral describes it as "lncRNA (ENSRROG00000046067.1)". The record is from RNAcentral. Lineage: Eukaryota; Metazoa; Chordata; Mammalia; Primates; Cercopithecidae.